Molecule: transfer RNA, 73 nt
Filed under: Planctomycetota bacterium
Lineage: Bacteria; Pseudomonadati; Planctomycetota
Also listed under: 2 other names
Description: tRNA-Ala
Rfam family: tRNA
About the family: Transfer RNA (tRNA) molecules are approximately 80 nucleotides in length.
Source: RNAcentral
GGGGCCGUAGCUCAACUGGGAGAGCGCCGGCUUUGCAAGCCGGAGGUUGCCGGUUCGAGCCCGGUCGGCUCCA